Molecule: ribosomal RNA, 1381 nt
Filed under: metagenome
Description: bacterial SSU rRNA
Rfam family: Bacterial small subunit ribosomal RNA
Source: RNAcentral
AGAGUUUGAUCCUGGCUCAGAUUGAACGCUGGCGGCAUGCCUUACACAUGCAAGUCGAACGGCAGCGCGGACUUCGGUCUGGCGGCGAGUGGCGAACGGGUGAGUAAUGCAUCGGAACGUACCUUUCAGUGGGGGAUAACGUAGCGAAAGUUACGCUAAUACCGCAUAUUCUGUGAGCAGGAAAGCAGGGGAUCGCAAGACCUUGCGCUGAUGGAGCGGCCGAUGUCAGAUUAGCUAGUUGGUGGGGUAAAGGCUCACCAAGGCGACGAUCUGUAGCGGGUCUUAGAGGAUGAUCCGCCACACUGGAACUGAGACACGGUCCAGACUCCUACGGGAGGCAGCAGUGGGGAAUUUUGGACAAUGGGCGCAAGCCUGAUCCAGCCAUGCCGCGUGAGUGAAGAAGGCCUUCGGGUUGUAAAGCUCUUUCGGCCGGGAAAAAAUCGCUUGGGUUAAUACCCUGAGUGGAUGAUGGUACCGGAAUAAGAAGCACCGGCUAACUACGUGCCAGCAGCCGCGGUAAUACGUAGGGUGCGAGCGUUAAUCGGAAUUACUGGGCGUAAAGCGUGCGCAGGCGGUUUUGUAAGACAGGCGUGAAAUCCCCGGGCUCAACCUGGGAACUGCGUUUGUGACUGCAAGGCUAGAGUAUGGCAGAGGGGGGUGGAAUUCCACGUGUAGCAGUGAAAUGCGUAGAGAUGUGGAGGAACACCAAUGGCGAAGGCAGCCCCCUGGGCCAAUACUGACGCUCAUGCACGAAAGCGUGGGGAGCAAACAGGAUUAGAUACCCUGGUAGUCCACGCCCUAAACGAUGUCAACUAGGUGUUGGGUGGGUAAAACCAUUUGGUACCGUAGCUAACGCGUGAAGUUGACCGCCUGGGGAGUACGGCCGCAAGGUUAAAACUCAAAGGAGUUGACGGGGACCCGCACAAGCGGUGGAUGAUGUGGAUUAAUUCGAUGCAACGCGAAAAACCUUACCUACCCUUGACAUGCCAGGAACUUGCCAGAGAUGGCUUGGUGCCCGAAAGGGAGCCUGGACGCAGGUGCUGCAUGGCUGUCGUCAGCUCGUGUCGUGAGAUGUUGGGUUAAGUCCCGCAACGAGCGCAACCCUUGUCGUUAAUUGCCAUCAUUUAGUUGGGCACUUUAACGAGACUGCCGGUGACAAACCGGAGGAAGGUGGGGAUGACGUCAAGUCCUCAUGGCCCUUAUGGGUAGGGCUUCACACGUCAUACAAUGGUCGGUACAAAGGGUCCCAAGCCGCGAGGCGGAGCCAAUCCCAGAAAGCCGAUCGUAGUCCGGAUCGCAGGCUGCAACUCGCCUGCGUGAAGUCGGAAUCGCUAGUAAUCGUGGAUCAGCAUGUCACGGUGAAUACGUUCCCGGGUCUUGU